UCAGGAAUUUGGUGGAGCCAGGCGGGAUCGAACCGCCGACCUCCUGCGUGCAAGGCAGGCGCUCUCCCAGCUGAGCUAUGGCCCCUGAACUCCAAUCUGGUGGGUCUGGGAGGAUUUGAACCUCCGACCUCACCCUUAUCAGGGGUGCGCUCUAACCAACUGAGCUACAGACCCAAUUUGCUCAAGUGCAGUACAGAUGCUUCAAGCAACAGGCCUGUAUCUGCUUUAACUGUGGAUAGGUAAUUUAUGUGAGUACUCCGCCGGCCCGGCGAAACUUUUUAAAGGA
RNAcentral lists this transfer RNA (286 nucleotides) under gamma proteobacterium IS1905. Its description in RNAcentral is "partial 16S ribosomal RNA". Lineage: Bacteria; Pseudomonadati; Pseudomonadota; Gammaproteobacteria. The record is from RNAcentral.